GUGGGCAGCACAUACGCUGAGAUUGGAACGAUACGGAGAAGAUAAGCAUGGUCCCUGCACCAGGAUGACACACAAAUUCGUGAAGUGUUCCAUUUUUUU
This is a small nuclear RNA of Ursus americanus (American black bear), 99 nucleotides long. The record is from Ensembl. Lineage: Eukaryota; Metazoa; Chordata; Mammalia; Carnivora; Ursidae.